GUCCCCUCCCCCGAUGGUGGGGCUCGGACUGAAGAUGGUGCAGAAGAGAACAGCCGAACUUCAGGGCUUCCACCGUUCGUUCAAGGGGCAGAAUCCUUUCAAGCUGGCCUUCUCCUUAGACCUCGCCCAGCAUGGGGACUCUGACUUCAGCCCACAGUGUGAAGCCCGACCUGACAUGCCUUCCAGCCAGCCCAUUGACAUCCCAGAUACCAAGAAGAGAGGCCGGAAAAAGAAGCGCUGUCGUGCUACUGACAGCUUCUCAGGCAGGUUCGAAGAUGUCUACCAGCUGCAGGAAGAUGUGCUGGGGGAAGGUGCCCACGCCCGAGUACAGACCUGUGUCAAUCUCAUCACCAACCAGGAAUAUGCUGUCAGGGUCAUUGAGAAGCAGCUGGGCUACAUCCGCAGCAAGGUGUUCCGGGAGGUGGAGAUGCUGUACCAGUGCCAGGGACAUAGGAAUGUUCUGGAGCUGAUCGAGUUCUUCGAGGAGGAGGACCGUUUCUACCUGGUGUUUGAGAAGAUGCGUGGCGGAUCCAUCCUAAGCCACAUCCACAGAAGGCGCCACUUUAACGAGCUGGAGGCCAGUGCCCUGGACUUCCUGCAUAACAAAGGCAUCGCCCAUAGGGACCUAAAGCCAGGGAACAUCCUGUAUGAGCACCCCAACCAGGUCUCGCCAGUGACGAUCUGCGACUUCGACCUUGGCAGUGGUAUCAAACUCAAUGGAGACUGCUCCCCCAUCUCUACGCCAGAGCUGCUCACCCCGUGUGGGUCAGCCGAGUACAUGGCCCCAGGGUUGGUGGAGGCCUUCAGUGAGGAGGCCAGCAUCUACAACAAGCGCUGCGACCAGUGGAGCCUGGGCGUCAUCUUCUACAUCCUGCUUAGUGGCUACCCUCCCCCUCGUGGUCCACUGUGGCAGCGACUGUGGCUGGGACCGCGGGGAGGCCUGCCCUGCCAGCUAGAACAUGCUGUUUGAGAGCAUCCAAGAAGGGAAGUAUGAGUUCCCCGACAAGGACUGGUCCCAUAUCUCCUUAGCUGCCAAAGACCUCAUCUCCAAGCUUCUGGUCCGAGAUGCCAAGCAGAGGCUGAGCGCUGCCCAAGUCCUUCAGCACCCCUGGGUGCAGGGGUGUGCCCCAGAGAACACCCUACCGACACCCUUGGUUCUGCAGAGGAACAGCUGUGCCAAAGACCUCACUUCCUUUGCGGCUGAGGCCAUCGCCAUGAACCAGCAGCUGGCCCAGUGUGAGGAGGACGCUGGGCAGGACCAGCCUGUGAUCAUCCGAGCUACCUCACGCUGCCUGCAGCUGUCCCCACCUUCCCAAUCCAAGCUGGCCCAGCGGUGCCAGAGGGCUAGCCUGCCGGCCACCCCUGUGGUCCUCGUGGGGGAUCGCGCAUGAUCCCCACUAGCCCCUUGUACAUAUGCCC
Mus pahari (shrew mouse) is the source of this 1419-nucleotide RNA transcript. It is a transcript of the gene named MAP kinase-interacting serine/threonine-protein kinase 2 pseudogene, with no coding region annotated. The record is from RefSeq and is a predicted model, not a curated record. NCBI's taxonomy places the organism in Eukaryota, Metazoa, Chordata, Mammalia, Rodentia, Muridae. The transcript has a single exon.